RNAcentral lists this ribosomal RNA (253 nucleotides) under uncultured bacterium. RNAcentral describes it as "partial 16S ribosomal RNA". It matches the Rfam family "Bacterial small subunit ribosomal RNA", at positions 524 to 776 of the family's 1533-position model. The record is from RNAcentral.
UACGUACCGUCCAAACGUUAUUCGGAAUCACUGGGCUUAAAGAGUUCGUAGGCGGCUCAGAAAGUUGGGUGUGAAAUCCCUCGGCUCAACCGAGGAAUUGCGCUCAAAACUACUGAGCUAGAGGGAGAUAGAGGUGAGCGGAACUGAUGGUGGAGCGGUGAAAUGCGUUGAUAUCAUCAGGAACACCGGAGGCGAAGGCGGCUCACUGGGUCUUUCCUGACGCUGAGGAGCGAAAGCUAGGGGAGCGAACGGG